CGAUCAGUAGCCGGUCUGAGAGGAUGAACGGCCACAUUGGGACUGAGACACGGCCCAGACUCCUACGGGAGGCAGCAGUGGGGAAUCUUCCGCAAUGGACGAAAGUCUGACGGAGCAACGCCGCGUGAGUGAAGAAGGUCUUCGGAUUGUAAAGCUCUGUUAUACGGGACGAAAAAGACGGAUGCCAACAGUAUCCGUCCGUGACGGUACCGUAAGAGAAAGCCACGGCUAACUACGUGCCAGCAGCCGCGGUAAAAU
This 258-nucleotide ribosomal RNA is filed under the name uncultured Veillonellaceae bacterium. RNAcentral describes it as "partial 16S ribosomal RNA". It matches the Rfam family "Bacterial small subunit ribosomal RNA", at positions 277 to 526 of the family's 1533-position model. Lineage: Bacteria; Bacillati; Bacillota; Negativicutes; Veillonellales; Veillonellaceae. The record is from RNAcentral.